UGCGCAGGCGGUUCGUUAAGUCGGAUGUGAAAUCUCACAGCCUAACUGUGAUAGGUCAUUCGAAACUGGCGGACUUGAGGGCUGGAGAGGAGACUGGAAUAGUCGGUGUAGCGGUGAAAUGCGUAGAGAUCGACUAGAACACCGGUGGCGAAGGCGAGUCUCUGGACAGUUCCUGACGCUCAGGCACGAAAGCCAGGGGAGCAAACG
This 207-nucleotide ribosomal RNA is filed under the name uncultured bacterium. Its description in RNAcentral is "partial 16S ribosomal RNA". It matches the Rfam family "Bacterial small subunit ribosomal RNA", at positions 568 to 774 of the family's 1533-position model. The record is from RNAcentral.